Molecule: long non-coding RNA, 612 nt
Filed under: Daucus carota (carrot)
Lineage: Eukaryota; Viridiplantae; Streptophyta; Magnoliopsida; Apiales; Apiaceae
Description: long non-coding RNA (DCAR_LNC000880)
Source: RNAcentral
CCCCUCUCUCUUUGGCUACUGCAACUUUAGUAACAUGCCUCCACAAUGUGUUUUCUUCCACUGGAAUACAUUGUGAUGGUUGGUUGACAGAAUUAGAGCCUCCUGUACUUGUAGUUGUAGCCGAGUUUGACAUGAACUCCAUUACUGAAUAAGAUUGCAAGCAACUGAAAUUAAUAAAUAUUCUCUUGCGACAAGUAAAUCAAGCUGUAUAACAGUUCUUAAAUUAUUGCAAUUUACCAUUUAUAACUCAAGCUUAACACAUUGUCAAAAUAUAAAUCAAAUCUUCCAUAUAUAAUAUAACCAACCAAAUCAAAUCUUCCAUAUAUAACAAACCAAAUCUUUUAAAAUUCAAAAAUCAAAACGUAUCAGAGAUAUAUACUAAUACCAGUAUACCACAUAACCCCAAAUCACCAAUUAAUCAAUCAUACCAUACCAAAGAUAUAAAUAUACACACACACGAGCAAUUAUAUAUACAUACACACGAGUAGAUAUACAAAAACACAAAAACACACUUACCAAACGAAAUAGUUGAGCUGGAGAUCUUGAUUUGAUUGAAGAUUGAUGAUUGAAGUUGAGCUGGAGUCGAUUUGAUUGAAGAUUGAUGAUUGAAGU